RNAcentral lists this long non-coding RNA (602 nucleotides) under Homo sapiens (human). RNAcentral describes it as "OR2A1 antisense RNA 1". The record is from RNAcentral. Lineage: Eukaryota; Metazoa; Chordata; Mammalia; Primates; Hominidae.
GGAGCCCGGGCGCACGGGCCAGGCCGCGGGCUGUCCCAGGGAGCCCCGAGGGCGCGGUGCGCGGGCGCAGGUCGGGCGCAGGCGGGGUGACCCGGGGAAGGGGCGCGCACAGAGACAGAGGGAGCCAGCCGGGCCCCACGGUGUCCUCGGACGCCUCCGAAAUCUCCCUGCGUGUUUGUUUCUUCGGAGCUUCACCGGAGCCUGACUCUGGAACCGGCCUGUCUGCCUGCUGCAGUCUGGAAACGUUGUGUUCUGUUAGUCUUGGAGGCCAAGGCUGAGUGGGUUUAUCUCUGUGCCCCUCCAGUGACUUCAAAGAAUGCCAAAAGUCUCUCGAGUGUGCCUGUGUGCACACACAGACACACACAAAUAUGCAUUCUUAGAAACCAGAUAUACAAAGACAAGAUCUCUGCUUUCAAGAAGCUCUCAAUCUGAUUGAGGAGAGAAACAGGUAGCAAAUAAUGGCAGCAGAGCAUGGUCAUUCAACAUUUAUUCAACCAAAAAUACUAAGUCAGCUCUAUACAAACUAAUGGAAGGAUACAGCUAUGCAAAUAUAGAACACUAAAGUGUUACAUGACAGAUGUAUGAGGUAGGUAUUAUUUUCA